This 502-nucleotide ribosomal RNA is filed under the name uncultured bacterium. RNAcentral describes it as "bacterial SSU rRNA". It matches the Rfam family "Bacterial small subunit ribosomal RNA", at positions 24 to 518 of the family's 1533-position model. The record is from RNAcentral.
UCAGGAUGAACGCUAGCUACAGGCUAACACAUGCAAGCGAGGGGCAGCAUAUCGAAGCUUGCUUGAUAGAUGGCGACCGGCGCACGGGUGAGUAACGCGUAUCCAACCUUCCCAUCACUCAGGGAUAGCCCGCCGAAAGGCGAAUUAAUACCUGAUGGUCUCCUUUGCAGACAUCUAACGAGGAGUAAAGAUUUAUUGGUGAUGGAUGGGGAUGCGUCUGAUUAGGUAGUAGGCGGGGUAACGGCCCACCUAGCCGACGAUCAGUAGGGGCUCUGAGAGGAAGGUCCCCCACAUUGGAACUGAGACACGGUCCAAACUCCUACGGGAGGCAGCAGUGAGGAAUAUUGGUCAAUGGACGGAAGUCUGAACCAGCCAAGUAAGCGUGCAGGAUGACGGCCCUAUGGGUUGUAAACUGCUUUUAUAGGGGAAUAAAGUGAGCCACGUGUGGUUUUUUGUAUGUACCCUAUGAAUAAGGACCGGCUAAUUCCGUGCCAGCCGCCGC